Molecule: ribosomal RNA, 332 nt
Filed under: uncultured bacterium
Lineage: Bacteria
Description: bacterial SSU rRNA
Rfam family: Bacterial small subunit ribosomal RNA
Source: RNAcentral
AGCCACCUUCGGGUGGUGGACAGUGGCAGACGGGUGAGUAACGCGUGGGAACGUGCCUUUCGGUUCGGGAUAACCCAGGGAAACUUGGGCUAAUACCGGAUACGCCCUUCGGGGGAAAGAUUCAUUGCCGAAAGAUCGGCCCGCGUCGGAUUAGCUUGUUGGUGGGGUAAUGGCCUACCAAGGCGACGAUCCGUAGCUGGUCUGAGAGGAUGACCAGCCACACUGGGACUGAGACACGGCCCAGACUCCUACGGGAGGCAGCAGUGGGGAAUAUUGGACAAUGGGCGAAAGCCUGAUCCAGCCAUGCCGCGUGGGUGAAGAAGGCCUUAGGG